CCUACGGGUGGCAGCAGUGGGGAAUAUUGCGCAAUGGGGGAAACCCUGACGCAGCAACGCCGCGUGAGUGAUGAAGGUUUUCGGAUCGUAAAGCUCUGUCGUUAGGGACGAUAAUGACGGUACCUAAUGAGGAAGCCACGGCUAACUACGUGCCAGCAGCCGCGGUAAUACGUAGGUGGCAAGCGUUGUCCGGAAUUACUGGGCGUAAAGAGUAUGUAGGCGGAUAUUUAAGUCAGAUGUGAAAUCCCCGGGCUUAACCUGGGAGCUGCAUUUGAAACUGGAUAUCUAGAGUGCAGGAGAGGAAAGUGGAAUUCCUAGUGUAGCGGUGAAAUGCGUAGAGAUUAGGAAGAACACCAGUGGCGAAGGCGACUUUCUGGACUGUAACUGACGCUGAGAUACGAAAGCGUGGGUAGCAAACAGGAUUAGAUACCCGUGUAGUC
Molecule: ribosomal RNA, 440 nt
Filed under: uncultured bacterium
Lineage: Bacteria
Description: bacterial SSU rRNA
Rfam family: Bacterial small subunit ribosomal RNA
Source: RNAcentral